CCCACUCCUCUUCAAAGCUCAAGAUGGCCUGGCCGUUGGUCUUCCUUGCCUGUCUCACUUACUGCUCAGGAGUCAAUUCACAGCCACCAUGGAUUCAGCCAGCCUCCCUGUCUGUGUCUCUGGGAGAAACAGCAAACAUCUCCUGCACGGUCAGUGGACGUGUGAAUAAUAUUUAUUGGUACCAGCAAAAAACUGGGCAGGUCCCUCGCUAUGUGCAGUAUUCUGCUGGAGGCCGGGGUGCCGGGUUCCCAGAUCGAUUCACGGCUUCUGUGUCUGGGAACAUUGGAUAUUUAGCCAUCAGCGACAGCCAGGCAGAAGACGAGGCUGACUAUUACUGUGCGAUGUGGCAGAGCAGUGCCACAAAAAUAUCCUUCACGGUCACUGGAAGUGUGAAUACUAUUUCAUGGUACCAAGAGAAAUCUGGGGAGGCCCUUCGCUACGUGCACUAUGCUGGUGGAAACAGGGGUGACGGGAUCCCCGAUUGGUUCACGGCUUCUGUCUCGGGAAACAUUGGCCAUUUAACCAUCAGCAGCACCCAGGCCGAAGAUGAGGCUUCUUAUUACUGUUUAAUGUGGCACAGCAGUGCCAGCUCGUUACACGGUGGAAAGGUGUGGUGA
This is a non-coding RNA of Python bivittatus (Burmese python), 617 nucleotides long. NCBI's taxonomy places the organism in Eukaryota, Metazoa, Chordata, Lepidosauria, Squamata, Pythonidae. The record is from the annotation of a RefSeq genome assembly.